This is an RNA transcript of Cebus imitator (Panamanian white-faced capuchin), 5033 nucleotides long. It is a transcript of the gene named SMAD family member 4, with no coding region annotated. Lineage: Eukaryota; Metazoa; Chordata; Mammalia; Primates; Cebidae. The record is from RefSeq and is a predicted model, not a curated record. The transcript has 11 exons.
GCGACCACGCCCACCCACUUUUUGCAUUUUUAAAACCUGAGCACAGGCCUUGAAAUUAUACCAACGUUUAAAUUCUAGGUGUGAUGUGUGACAUGGCCAAGGUAGUUACUUUGAAUUUUAGUGUUCUCAUUUAUGAAAUGGGAAUUGUAAUACUGACUUGGUAGGAUUGUGAGGAUUAAAUCAGAAUAUAUGUAUAGUGUCUUGCAUAAUGUGACACAUGAAUAAAUGGUCGUUUAUUUUUCCAGGUGGCUGGCCGGAAAGGAUUUCCUCAUGUGAUCUAUGCCCGUCUCUGGAGGUGGCCUGAUCUUCACAAAAAUGAACUAAAGCAUGUUAAAUAUUGUCAGUAUGCGUUUGACUUAAAAUGUGAUAGUGUCUGUGUGAAUCCAUAUCACUAUGAACGAGUUGUAUCACCUGGAAUUGAUCUCUCAGGAUUAACACUGCAGAGUAAUGCUCCAUCAAGUAUGAUGGUGAAGGAUGAAUAUGUUCAUGAUUUUGAGGGACAGCCAUCAUUAUCCACUGAAGGACAUUCAAUUCAAACCAUCCAGCAUCCACCAAGUAAUCGUGCGUCAACAGAGACAUACAGCACCCCAGCUCUGUUAGCCCCAUCUGAGUCUAAUGCUACCAGCACUGCCAACUUUCCCAACAUUCCUGUGGCUUCCACAAGUCAGCCUGCCAGUAUACUGGGGGGCAGCCAUAGUGAAGGACUGUUGCAGAUAGCAUCAGGGCCUCAGCCAGGACAGCAGCAGAAUGGAUUUACUGGUCAGCCAGCUACUUACCAUCAUAACAGCACUACCACCUGGACUGGAAGUAGGACUGCACCAUACACACCUAAUUUGCCUCACCACCAAAACGGCCAUCUUCAGCACCACCCGCCUAUGCCGCCCCAUCCCGGACAUUACUGGCCUGUUCACAAUGAGCUUGCAUUCCAGCCCCCCAUUUCCAAUCAUCCUGCUCCUGAGUAUUGGUGUUCCAUUGCUUACUUUGAAAUGGAUGUUCAGGUAGGAGAGACAUUUAAGGUUCCUUCAAGCUGCCCUAUUGUUACUGUUGAUGGAUACGUGGACCCUUCUGGAGGAGAUCGCUUUUGUUUGGGUCAACUCUCCAAUGUCCACAGGACAGAAGCCAUUGAGAGAGCAAGGUUGCACAUAGGCAAAGGCGUGCAGUUGGAAUGUAAAGGUGAAGGUGAUGUUUGGGUCAGGUGCCUUAGCGACCAUGCGGUCUUUGUACAGAGUUACUACUUAGACAGAGAAGCCGGGCGUGCACCUGGAGAUGCUGUUCAUAAGAUCUACCCAAGUGCAUAUAUAAAGGUCUUUGAUUUGCGUCAGUGUCAUCGACAGAUGCAGCAGCAGGCGGCCACUGCACAAGCUGCAGCAGCCGCCCAGGCAGCAGCCGUGGCAGGAAACAUCCCUGGCCCGGGAUCAGUAGGUGGAAUAGCUCCAGCUAUCAAGUUAAACUCCUGACUAUAGACUUUUAUGAUGGAAACACGUGGCACCCAUCUUCCACGUCUGAAGGCAUAACUAGUGAUUCAUUCAACCCCUGUUCUUAACCUCUUCAGUGUGGCCUGUCAGCUGCCGCUGGAAUCGGUGUUGAUGACCUUCGUCGUUUAUGCAUACUCAGGAUGAGUUUCGUGAAAGGCUGGGGACCGGAUUACCCAAGACAGAGCAUCAAAGAAACGCCUUGCUGGAUUGAGAUUCACUUACACCGUGCCCUCCAGCUCCUAGAUGAAGUACUUCACACCAUGCCGAUUGCAGACCCACAACCUUUAGACUGAGGUCUUGGGGCCCUUAACCUUAUCAGGAUGGUGGACUAUAAAAUACAAUCCUGUUUAUAAUCUGAAGAUAUACUUCACUUUUGUUCUGCUUUAUCUUUUCAUAAAGGGUUGAAAAUGUGUUUGCUGCCUUGCUCCUAGCAGACAGAAACUGGAUUAAAACAUUUUUUUUUUCCUAUUUAGAACUUUUCAGGCAUGGCUCAGAGCUUGAAGAUUAAGAGAAACACAUUCUUAUUAAUUCUUCACCCACUAUGUAUGAAGGAAUCAUUCCAGUGCUAGAAAUUUAGCCCUUUAAAACGUCUUAGAGCCUUUUAUCUGCAGAACAUCAACAUGUGUAUCAUUCUACAGAAUAAAUCCAGUAUUGCUGAUUUUAAAGGCAGAAAAGUUCUCAAAGUUAAUUCACCUGUUAUUUUGUGUACAAGUUGUUAUUGUUGAACCUACUUACUUCAAAAAUAAUGUGCCAUGUGGGUGAGUUAAUUUUACCAAGAGUAACUUUACUGUUUUUAAAAAGUAAAAUAAUAAUGUAUUGUAACCUUUCAUCCAAAAUAUUUUUUGCAAGUUUUAUUAGUGAAAAUCAUUUCAGAUUGUCUUGCAACUUCAGUUUUGUUUUUGCCAAGGCAAAAAACACUAAUCUGUGUGUAUAUUGAGAAUCCCUUAAAAUUACCAGACAAAACAAGUCAUUUAAAAUUACAUUUGUUAUUCCUAAUGGAUGACUGUUUAUCAAGAAGUAUACUUUUACCCUCUUAAAUAGUAGAUGUAUUCUUCCGUAUUUCUAGGCACAAGAUUGGUUGCUAAAAAGCCUAGAAGAGGAAUUUCUUUUCCUUCAUUAAUUCACAGGGAAAGGUUUUGUAUUUUUUAAAACACUAAAAGCAGUGUCACUCUACCUAAUGUCUCACUGUUCUGCAAAGGUGGCAAUGCUUAAACUAAAUAAUGAGUAUUUUGGAAACUGCUAAAUUCUAUGUUAAAUACUGUGCAGAAUAAUGGAAACAUUACAGUUCAUAAUAGGUAGUUUGGAUAUUUUUGUACUUGAUUUGAUGUGACUUUUUUUCGUAUAAUGUUUAAAUCAUGUAUGUUACGAUAUUGUUUAAAAUUCAGUUUUUGUAUCUUGGGGCAAGACUGCAAACUUUUUUAUAUCUUUUGGUUAUUCUAAGCCCUUGCCAUCAAUGAUCAUAUCAAUUGGCAGUGACUUUGUAUAGAGAAUUUAAGUAGAAAAGUUGCAGAUGUAUUGACUGUACCACAGACACAAUAUGUAUGCUUUUUACCUAGCUGGUAGCAUAAAUAAAACCGAAUCUCAACAUACAAAGUUGAAUUCUAGGUUUGAUUUUUAAGAUUUUUUGUCUUUUGCACUUUUGAGUCCAAUCUCAGUGGUGAGGUACCUUCUACUAAAUGACAGGCAACAGCCAGUUCUAUUGGGCAGCUUUGUUUUUUCCCUCACACUCUACCAGGACUUCCCCAUGGACAUUGUGUAUCAUGUAUAGAGUUGGUUAUUUUUUUUGAAUUUUUAUUUUACUGUAGCAGAAAUAGGCCUGAUUGUCUACAAGAUGAUAAAUAGAUUGUCUAAAGAGUUGUGUGAAAUAAAAUCAACGAUUAUCUUUCAGAUGCUUUUACUUUUGCUUGGAGGACUUUUAGCUAUAGAAACACUUGUGUGAUAGUCCUCCUCAUAUCACCUGGAAUGAACACAGCUUCUACUGCCUUGCCCAGAAGGUCUUUUAAAUAGACCAUCCUGGAAACCACUGAGUUUGCUUAUUUCUGUGAUUUAAACAGAUGUUGAUCCAAGCUACAUGACUUUUGUUUUUAAAUAACUUAUCUACCAACUGAUUUGUACUCUUGAGUACUUAGAAAUUCUUUCAGUAAAGACCUAAUUUUCUUCUGUAAAAGUUUAAUGAUUUAAGUUUUAUUGGCAGUUUUUUAAAAGGACAUCGUUUCUAAAAAUUGCUAACUUUAGGUCCAUUUUACUAUGAAUGAGGAAUAGGAGUGAGUUUUAGAAUAACAGAUUUUUAAAAAUCCAGAUGAUUUGAUUAAAACCUUAAUCAUACAUUGAUAUAAUUCAUUUCUUCCUUUUUUUUUUUUUUUUUUUUUUGAGACAGAGUCUCUCUGUGUUGCCCAACUGGGAGUGCAGUAGCGCAAUCUCAGCUCACUGCAACCUCUGCCUCCCAGGUUCAACUGAUUCUCCUGCCUCAGCCUCCCGGGUAGCUGAGAUUACAGGUGCCCGCCACCACGCCUGGCUAAUUUUUAUAUUUUUAGUAGAGAUGGGGUUUUGCCAUGUUGGCCAGGCUGGUCUCGAACUCCUGACCUCAAGUGAUCCACCUGCCUCGGCCUCCCGAAGUGCUGGGAUUACAGGCUUGAGCCACCGUGCCUGGCCUCAUUACUUCCUUUUCUACUUUAAGGAGUUUUCAUGUUUAAUCAUCUAGGGAAAGUAUGUGGAAAAUAUUUGUUAAGAAGUAUCUCUUUGGAGCCAAGCCACCUGUCUUGGUUUCUUUCUACUAAGAGCCAUAAAGUAUAGAAAUACUUCUAGUUGUUAAGUGCUUAUAUUUGUACCUAGAUUUAGUCACAUGCUUUUGAGAAAACAUCUAGUAUGUUAUGAUCAGCUAUUCCUGAGAGCUUGGUUGUUAAUAUAUAUUUCUGUUUCUUACCGGUAGCCAUCUUUGAUGAAUAAGACUAAAGAUUCUCACAGGUUUAAAAUUUUUGUCUACUUUUAGGGUAAAAUUAUGAUGAGGAUAUGGUUCUGGGUGGGUUUUCUCUAGCUAAUUCAUAUCUUAAAGACUCAAAAUAUUGAAUUUCAGUGCAAGCUGAAUGAGAGAGAUGAGCCAUGUACACCCAGCGUGAGACCUCAUUCCACGUUUGUCCAGUGCCUUUCAGUGCAUUAUCAAAGGGAAUCCUUCAUGGUGUUGCCUUUAUUUUCCAGGGAGUGGAUCCUUUUGUGGGAUAUAGUCUAUCUCAUUUUUAAUAGUUUACUGCCCCUGGCAUACAAAGAUAAUGACAAUAAAUCACUGCCAUAUAACCUUGCUUUUUCCAGAGACAUGGCUCAUUUGUAUUGCUGUAACCACUAAAUAGGCUGCCUAUUCCCAUUCCUCCUGUGAACAGUGCAGAUUUACAGGUUGCAUGGUCUGGCUUAAGGAGAGCCAUACUUGAGACAUCCAAGUCAACUGAACACAUAAUAGCUGUGCUACAUUUCAGACUUAAAAUCCGUUUUUAUGGGGCAGGGUGUGGUGUGUAAAGGGGAUGUUUGUAUUACAAGUUUUGAAGGCAAAAUGUCAUGUUUCCCAGA